AGUUCAGAGAGGUAGUUAUUUAAAGAUGGAGGAAGGGAGGGGCUUGGCUAGCAUUCAGAAAGUGGACCAUGUAGGGGUCAAAGGCUGAGGCUAAAACCGGUCCAGUCUGCUCCUGGCCUUAUGGGACCUGGAAGGUUGCUGCAUCCCAGAUGAAGAUGUUCCUCCAAGGACGAGAAAUUUUGUCCACGGAAAACAUAUCUGCCUGUGGCCGCCCAGCAGGGUGAAACUCACAGAUCACAAUGAUGUUUCCAACAGGGUCAUCAUUGAGGUGGUCCCCUGUUGUGGAGAGCGGUAGAGCUGAGGAGGCAUUCGCCAUAACAAGAUGGCGCCUACUUCCGCUGUGGACUCCUGGCAAACAACUGUUUGCGCAUGUGCGUAGAA
Long non-coding RNA from Mastomys coucha (southern multimammate mouse), 381 nucleotides. RefSeq lists it as uncharacterized. The transcript has 3 exons. The record is from RefSeq and is a predicted model, not a curated record. NCBI's taxonomy places the organism in Eukaryota, Metazoa, Chordata, Mammalia, Rodentia, Muridae.